GGCUGGCUAGCUCAGCUGGUUAGAGGGUGGUGUUAAUAACACCAAGGCCAUAGGUUCAAUCCCCAUGCUGGCCA
Molecule: transfer RNA, 74 nt
Filed under: Alligator mississippiensis (American alligator)
Lineage: Eukaryota; Metazoa; Chordata; Crocodylia; Alligatoridae
Description: tRNA-Ile (AAT) (tRNA-Ile-AAT-3-1)
Rfam family: tRNA
About the family: Transfer RNA (tRNA) molecules are approximately 80 nucleotides in length. Their secondary structure includes four short double-helical elements and three loops (D, anti-codon, and T loops). Further hydrogen bonds mediate the characteristic L-shaped molecular structure. tRNAs have two regions of fundamental functional importance: the anti-codon, which is responsible for specific mRNA codon recognition, and the 3' end, to which the tRNAs corresponding amino acid is attached (by aminoacyl-tRNA synthetases). tRNAs cope with the degeneracy of the genetic code in two manners: having more than one tRNA (with a specific anti-codon) for a particular amino acid; and 'wobble' base-pairing, i.e. permitting non-standard base-pairing at the 3rd anti-codon position.
Source: Rfam by way of RNAcentral